AAAAAAUUUUUAUAGUUUAAAAAUUUAUUAUAGGUUUAUUUUACAUAUAAAUUUUAGUGUUAUAUUUAUUUUAUUUAAAUAAUAUUUUAUUUUAAUUAAAAGUAGUAAUUAAAAUUAAAAAUCUAAGAAAUUAAGAUUUAGUAAUAUUUUAAUUAAUAACUAAUUUUGUGCCAGCAGUUGCGGUUAUACAAAAAUUAAAUUAAAUUUUUUUAGGAAUUAAUAAUUAAUUGAUAAUAAGAUAAGAUUAAAUUUUAAAUUAUUGGGUGAAAUCUUAAUUAAUUAAAAUUUUAUAUUAAAUUAUGAAAUUAAGAAAUUUUAUUAAAAACUAGGAUUAGAUACCCUAUUAUAAAAAAUUUAAGUUAAUAAUACUAAAAUAGUAUGUAAUUAUUUAUAAAAACUUAAAUAAUUUGGCGGUAUUUUAGUUUAUUUAGAGGAAUCUGUUUAUUAAUUGAUAUUCCACGAAUAAAUUUACUUAAUUUAUUUUUUUUUGUAUAUCGUUGUUAGAAAAAUAUUUUUAAAUAAAAAUAAUAUUUUAAUUUUUUAAAUAAAAAUAAAAUCAGAUCAAGAUGCAGAUUAUAAUUAAGAAUAUAAUGGAUUACAAUAAAUUUAUUUAAGUGAAUAUUAAUUUAAAAAGUUAAUUGAAAUUGGAUUUAAAUGUAAUUUUAUUUAAUUUAUUAAAAUGAUUUUAAUUUAAAAUAUGUACAUAUUGCCCGUCGCUUUCAUUUAUAAAUUGAAAUAAGUCGUAACAAAGUAGAGGUACUGGAAAGUGUUUCUAGAAAGAC
Molecule: non-coding RNA, 782 nt
Filed under: Rotunda rotundapex
Lineage: Eukaryota; Metazoa; Arthropoda; Insecta; Lepidoptera; Bombycidae
Source: RNAcentral